GCCCAGGUGGUGGAAUUGGUAUACACGCAAGACUUAAAAUCUUGUCUCAGCAAUGGGAUGCGGGUUCGAUUCCCGCCCUGGGCACCA
This 87-nucleotide transfer RNA is filed under the name Candidatus Peregrinibacteria bacterium. RNAcentral's name for it is "tRNA-Leu". It matches the Rfam family "tRNA". From Rfam's summary of the family: Transfer RNA (tRNA) molecules are approximately 80 nucleotides in length. Their secondary structure includes four short double-helical elements and three loops (D, anti-codon, and T loops). Further hydrogen bonds mediate the characteristic L-shaped molecular structure. tRNAs have two regions of fundamental functional importance: the anti-codon, which is responsible for specific mRNA codon recognition, and the 3' end, to which the tRNAs corresponding amino acid is attached (by aminoacyl-tRNA synthetases). tRNAs cope with the degeneracy of the genetic code in two manners: having more than one tRNA (with a specific anti-codon) for a particular amino acid; and 'wobble' base-pairing, i.e. permitting non-standard base-pairing at the 3rd anti-codon position. The record is from RNAcentral. Lineage: Bacteria; Candidatus Peregrinibacteriota.